RNAcentral lists this transfer RNA (69 nucleotides) under Parnassius choui. RNAcentral describes it as "tRNA-Leu". Lineage: Eukaryota; Metazoa; Arthropoda; Insecta; Lepidoptera; Papilionidae. The record is from RNAcentral.
ACUAUUUUGGCAGAAAAAAUGUAAUGAUUUUAGAAAUCAUAAAUAUAUAAUUUAAUUGUAUAUGUAGUA